AACCUGCCCUAUACACACGGAUAACGUACCGACAUGUACGCUAAUACGAGAUAACAUAUUUUUAUCGCAUGGUAAGAAUAUCAAAGCUCCGGCGGUAUAGGAUGGACCCGCGUCUGAUUAGCUAGUUGGUAAGGUAACGGCUUACCAAGGCGACGAUCAGUAGCCGACCUGAGAGGGUGAUCGGCCACAUUGGAACUGAGACACGGUCCAAACUCCUACGGGAGGCAGCAGUGGGGAAUAUUGCACAAUGGGCGAAAGCCUGAUGCAGCAACGCCGCGUGAGCGAUGAAGGCCUUCGGGUCGUAAAGCUCUGUCCUCAAGGAAGAUAAUGACGGUACUUGAGGAGGAAGCCCCGGCUAACUACGUGCCAGCAGCCGCGGUAAUACGUAGGGGGCUAGCGUUAUCCGGAAUUACUGGGCGUAAGGGUGCGUAGGUGGUUUCUUAAGUCAGAGGUGAAAGGCUACGGCUCAACCGUAGUAAGCCUUUGAAACUGAGAAACUUGAGUGCAGGAGAGGAGAGUAGAAUUCCUAGUGUAGCGGUGAAAUGCGUAGAUAUUAGGAGGAAUACCAGUUGCGAAGGCGGCUCUCUGGACUGUAACUGACACUGAGGCACGAAAGCGUGGGGAGCAAACAGGAUUAGAUACCCUGGUAGUCCACGCCGUAAACGAUGAGUACUAGCUGUCGGAGGUUACCCCCUUCGGUGGCGCAGCUAACGCAUUAAGUACUCCGCCUGGGAAGUACGCUCGCAAGAGUG
This 752-nucleotide ribosomal RNA is filed under the name uncultured bacterium. RNAcentral's name for it is "bacterial SSU rRNA". It matches the Rfam family "Bacterial small subunit ribosomal RNA", at positions 123 to 896 of the family's 1533-position model. The record is from RNAcentral.